RNAcentral lists this ribosomal RNA (497 nucleotides) under uncultured bacterium. RNAcentral's name for it is "partial 16S ribosomal RNA". It matches the Rfam family "Bacterial small subunit ribosomal RNA", at positions 28 to 507 of the family's 1533-position model. The record is from RNAcentral.
GAUGAACGCUGGCGGCGUGCCUAAUACAUGCAAGUCGAGCGAACGGACGAGAAGCUUGCUUCUCUGAUGUUAGCGGCGGACGGGUGAGUAACACGUGGAUAACCUACCUAUAAGACUGGGAUAACUUCGGGAAACCGGAGCUAAUACCGGAUAAUAUUUUGAACCGCAUGGUUCAAAGGUGAAAGACGGUCUUGCUGUCACUUAUAGAUGGAUCCGCGCUGCAUUAGCUAGUUGGUAAGGUAACGGCUUACCAAGGCAACGAUGCAUAGCCGACCUGAGAGGGUGAUCGGCCACACUGGAACUGAGACACGGUCCAGACUCCUACGGGAGGCAGCAGUAGGGAAUCUUCCGCAAUGGGCGAAAGCCUGACGGAGCAACGCCGCGUGAGUGAUGAAGGUCUUCGGAUCGUAAAACUCUGUUAUUAGGGAAGAACAUAUGUGUGAGUAACUGUGCACAUCUUGACGGUACCUAAUCAGAAAGCCACGGCUAACUACGUG